RNAcentral lists this ribosomal RNA (303 nucleotides) under uncultured bacterium. RNAcentral's name for it is "partial 16S ribosomal RNA". It matches the Rfam family "Bacterial small subunit ribosomal RNA", at positions 507 to 807 of the family's 1533-position model. The record is from RNAcentral.
AGCAGUCGCCGCGGGAAUACGAAGGGGGCUAGCGUUGCUCGGAAUCACUGGGCGUAAAGGGUGCGUAGGCGGGUCUUUAAGUCAGGGGUGAAAUCCUGGAGCUCAACUCCAGAACUGCCUUUGAUACUGAAGAUCUUGAGUUCGGGAGAGGUGAGUGGAACUGCGAGUGUAGAGGUGAAAUUCGUAGAUAUUCGCAAGAACACCAGUGGCGAAGGCGGCUCACUGGCCCGAUACUGACGCUGAGGCACGAAAGCGUGGGGAGCAAACAGGAUUAGAUACCCGCGUAGUCCCUGUCUCUUAUAC